Molecule: ribosomal RNA, 891 nt
Filed under: Staphylococcus aureus
Lineage: Bacteria; Bacillati; Bacillota; Bacilli; Caryophanales; Staphylococcaceae
Description: partial 23S ribosomal RNA
Rfam family: Bacterial large subunit ribosomal RNA
Source: RNAcentral
CUGGGAGGACCAUCUCCUAAGGCUAAAUACUCUCUAGUGACCGAUAGUGAACCAGUACCGUGAGGGAAAGGUGAAAAGCACCCCGGAAGGGGAGUGAAAUAGAACCUGAAACCGUGUGCUUACAAGUAGUCAGAGCCCGUUAAUGGGUGAUGGCGUGCCUUUUGUAGAAUGAACCGGCGAGUUACGAUUUGAUGCAAGGUUAAGCAGUAAAUGUGGAGCCGUAGCGAAAGCGAGUCUGAAUAGGGCGUUUAGUAUUUGGUCGUAGACCCGAAACCAGGUGAUCUACCCUUGGUCAGGUUGAAGUUCAGGUAACACUGAAUGGAGGACCGAACCGACUUACGUUGAAAAGUGAGCGGAUGAACUGAGGGUAGCGGAGAAAUUCCAAUCGAACCUGGAGAUAGCUGGUUCUCUCCGAAAUAGCUUUAGGGCUAGCCUCAAGUGAUGAUUAUUGGAGGUAGAGCACUGUUUGGACGAGGGGCCCCUCUCGGGUUACCGAAUUCAGACAAACUCCGAAUGCCAAUUAAUUUAACUUGGGAGUCAGAACAUGGGUGAUAAGGUCCGUGUUCGAAAGGGAAACAGCCCAGACCACCAGCUAAGGUCCCAAAAUAUAUGUUAAGUGGAAAAGGAUGUGGCGUUGCCCAGACAACUAGGAUGUUGGCUUAGAAGCAGCCAUCAUUUAAAGAGUGCGUAAUAGCUCACUAGUCGAGUGACACUGCGCCGAAAAUGUACCGGGGCUAAACAUAUUACCGAAGCUGUGGAUUGUCCUUUGGACAAUGGUAGGAGAGCGUUCUAAGGGCGUUGAAGCAUGAUCGUAAGGACAUGUGGAGCGCUUAGAAGUGAGAAUGCCGGUGUGAGUAGCGAAAGACGGGUGAGAAUCCCGUCCACCGAUUG